This 63-nucleotide transfer RNA is filed under the name Hydroides norvegica. Its description in RNAcentral is "tRNA-Leu". The record is from RNAcentral. Lineage: Eukaryota; Metazoa; Annelida; Polychaeta; Sabellida; Serpulidae.
GCUUCGAGUGGCAGAAUAGUGCGGUACUUUUAAGCAGUAUUAAUGGUUUAAAACCCCGAAGUU